AACGUUUUGAAGCUUAAAAUGGUUCUGGUUCCCUAAACUUCUCACCUGAUAUUUAAGGCAUCUCUAUGAUUGCAUACAGCCAUACACGUCCUUGUCAUCGUACCCACCAUCACCAUCAUUAGCUCCACAGCCUCCACCCUCCCCUCUAAAAAUGUUUUCUCCGUCUCAAUUUCACCAAUCUCAAGCAUGCUCUGGUUAUCUUGUUAUUCUCUCAUUUUGAGCUUCGUUUCAAGAAGAUUUUAUGAAAUGGAUGUUCCUAAAUCCACAUCCACGUCAUCUUCAUCGUCACCCUCACUGCCUAAUCCAUCUUCCUCUCCUAAAAAAAUUCAACUGGUUUCUAAGUUUGUUUCAGACCGACUUCUCGACAAAUUCUUUGAUGCAAGUGAGUUUGAUUUUGAUUAUGAACAAAGUGGAUUAUGGUCUCCUCCCAUUAGAAGAAGUGCCUUCUUGAGCUCACCUGGUAGGAUAUUCACCGAAGAGGAGAUGCUUGGAAGACUUAGAAAAGUGAUGGAUGCUCGUCGUGAUACAAGACAUAAAGCAUGCUGGAAUGUAGUGUGGUGCUUUUGAACAUGGUUGAAUCCGCUCGUUGUCACUUCAUCUCCCAGAAGGCUGAGAAGAGGGUGUUGCAUAUCAGGUCAACCACAAAACAAAAGGAGAAGGGAAAAAAAAGAAAGAAAAAUAGGUUAAUUAUAUUGGGUUGACGUACGUUCGUUGCUUCUUAAAGUCUUUUAGCAGGCAUUUCUUGAAGAAGAAGAAGAAAAAAAGGACAAAAAGAUUACGAUAUAGGGUAAUUACAUGGACCCUGUCUUUGCUUAAUCUUAUGAUAAUUAGGUAUUAAGCAAGAAAGCAGGAUCUUUAGUUUCAAGAAUUGUAUUAUUUUUAUUAUUUUUUCGGUCUUGAUUUUCAAAUUAAUAUAUAUGAAGGAAAUGAAUCAUGAUAUAUGAUAAUUUA
Long non-coding RNA from Populus trichocarpa (black cottonwood), 951 nucleotides. RefSeq lists it as uncharacterized. The record is from RefSeq and is a predicted model, not a curated record. The transcript has 2 exons. Lineage: Eukaryota; Viridiplantae; Streptophyta; Magnoliopsida; Malpighiales; Salicaceae.